This 108-nucleotide ribosomal RNA is filed under the name Periophthalmus magnuspinnatus. The record is from RNAcentral. Lineage: Eukaryota; Metazoa; Chordata; Actinopteri; Gobiiformes; Gobiidae.
GCUAAACUUAAUAACGAUUCAUAUUCAAUCUCGUCUAGAUCUCGGAAGCUAAGCAAGUCCGCAUCUGGUUAGCACUUGGAUGGGAGACCGCGGGGAAUACCAAGUGCC